This 253-nucleotide ribosomal RNA is filed under the name uncultured Clostridium sp. RNAcentral describes it as "partial 16S ribosomal RNA". It matches the Rfam family "Bacterial small subunit ribosomal RNA", at positions 524 to 776 of the family's 1533-position model. Lineage: Bacteria; Bacillati; Bacillota; Clostridia; Eubacteriales; Clostridiaceae. The record is from RNAcentral. RNAcentral also lists the same sequence under 2 other names.
UACGUAGGUGGCAAGCGUUGUCCGGAUUUACUGGGCGUAAAGGGAGCGUAGGCGGAUGUUUAAGUGGGAUGUGAAAUACUCGGGCUCAACUUGAGUGCUGCAUUCCAAACUGGAUAUCUAGAGUGCAGGAGAGGAAAGGAGAAUUCCUAGUGUAGCGGUGAAAUGCGUAGAGAUUAGGAAGAAUACCAGUGGCGAAGGCGCCUUUCUGGACUGUAACUGACGCUGAGGCUCGAAAGCGUGGGGAGCAAACAGG